UACGUAGGGGGCGAGCGUUGCCCGGAAUUAUUGGGCGUAAAGAGCGUGUAGGCGGUUCGGUAAGUCUGCCGUGAAAACCUGGGGCUCAACCCCGGGCGUGCGGUGGAUACUGCCGGGCUAGAGGGUGGUAGAGGCGAGUGGAAUUCCCGGUGUAGCGGUGAAAUGCGUAGAGAUCGGGAAGAACAUCGGUGGCGAAAGCGCUCUGCUGGACUGCAACUGACACUCAGGGACGAAAGCUAGGGGAGCGAAUGGG
RNAcentral lists this ribosomal RNA (253 nucleotides) under uncultured bacterium. RNAcentral describes it as "partial 16S ribosomal RNA". It matches the Rfam family "Bacterial small subunit ribosomal RNA", at positions 524 to 776 of the family's 1533-position model. The record is from RNAcentral.